CAGGGCUGCAGAAGCAACCCAGAAAACCUCCUCUCCAAGGGGAAGAGUCUCUUUUCCAUGCCAGACCUGUCCGUGCAGGACGAAACAGGAAGAGUAACAUGAACGUGCAGCACUGGCCUGAUCAAGAAGGAGGUGUUUAUAAAGCCAAAGAUCCCAGGAGGGAGAUGCGAGGUGCACAUGAAGUAACAGAGGAUGAACACACGAAGGCAGAGGUGCCCAUUGACCAGACAGCUGCAAACAUUGUGGAAGAGGAAUUUAUACAAAAAGCCAAAAUGAGAAGCCACAACAAGGU
Non-coding RNA from Tinamus guttatus (white-throated tinamou), 292 nucleotides. Lineage: Eukaryota; Metazoa; Chordata; Aves; Tinamiformes; Tinamidae. The record is from RefSeq and is a predicted model, not a curated record.